AUUGAACGCUGGCGGCAGGCCUAACACAUGCAAGUCGAGCGGUAGAGAGAAGCUUGCUUCUCUUGAGAGCGGCGGACGGGUGAGUAAUGCCUAGGAAUCUGCCUGGUAGUGGGGGAUAACGUUCGGAAACGGACGCUAAUACCGCAUACGUCCUACGGGAGAAAGCAGGGGACCUUCGGGCCUUGCGCUAUCAGAUGAGCCUAGGUCGGAUUAGCUAGUUGGUGAGGUAAUGGCUCACCAAGGCGACGAUCCGUAACUGGUCUGAGAGGAUGAUCAGUCACACUGGAACCGAGACACGGUCCAGACUCCUACGGGAGGCAGCAAUGGGGAAUAUUGGACAAUGGGCGAAAGCCUGAUCCAGCCAUGCCGCGUGUGUGAAGAAGGUCUUCGGAUUGUAAAGCACUUUAAGUUGGGAGGAAGGGUUGUAGAUUAAUACUCUGCAAUUUUGACGUUACCGACAGAAUAAGCACCGGCUAACUCUGUGCCAGCCGCCGCGGUAA
Molecule: ribosomal RNA, 500 nt
Filed under: uncultured bacterium
Lineage: Bacteria
Description: partial 16S ribosomal RNA
Rfam family: Bacterial small subunit ribosomal RNA
Source: RNAcentral